AAUCUGGCUGAGAUUUCUGUCACCCACCCCAUUGAUCUCCAGGGUUGCUUCAGCUGAUUUGGCUGGCUACUCAAGUGUCCCCAUUC
RNAcentral lists this small RNA (86 nucleotides) under Mesocricetus auratus (golden hamster). RNAcentral's name for it is "7SK RNA (ENSMAUG00000004573.1)". It matches the Rfam family "7SK RNA", at positions 13 to 94 of the family's 331-position model. Rfam says of the family: 7SK was discovered as an abundant small nuclear RNA in the mid-70s but a possible function has only recently been suggested. Lineage: Eukaryota; Metazoa; Chordata; Mammalia; Rodentia; Cricetidae. The record is from RNAcentral.